UCUCCGUAGGUGAACCUGCGGAGGGAUCAUUACAGAGUUCUCGCCCUCGCGGGUAGAUCUCCCACCCACUGUUAUCGUUACUGUGUUGCUUUGGCGGGCCGCCGGGCCCCGCUCGGCCGCCGGCUCCGGCUGGCGCGCGCCCGCCAGAGGCCCAGCAAACUCUGAAUGUUAGUGUCGUCUGAGUACUAUAUAAUAGUUAGAACUUUCAACAACGGAUCUCUUGGUUCUG
RNAcentral lists this unclassified non-coding RNA (229 nucleotides) under plant metagenome. RNAcentral's name for it is "partial contains small subunit ribosomal RNA, internal transcribed spacer 1, and 5.8S ribosomal RNA". The record is from RNAcentral.